UUACCAGACUCCUACGGGAGGCAGCAGUGGGGAAUAUUGGACAAUGGGGGGAACCCUGAUCCAGCGACGCCGCGUGAGUGAAGAAGUAUUUCGGUCUGUAAAGCUCUAUCAGCAGGGAAGAAAGAAAUGACGGUACCUGACUAAGAAGCCCCGGCUAACUACGUGCCAGCAGCCGCGGUAAUACGUAGGGGGCAAGCGUUAUCCGGAUUUACUGGGUGUAAAGGGGGCGCAGACGGCAGCGCAAGCCAGGAGUGAAAGCCCGGGGCCCAACCCCGGGACUGCUCUGGAAACUGCGGCGCUGGAGUACGGGAGGGGCAGGCGGAAUUCCUGGUGUAGCGGUGAAAUGCGGAGAUAUCAGGAGGAACGCCGGCGGCGAAGGCGGCCUGCUGGACCGUGACUGACGUUGAGGCUCGAGAGCGUGGGGAGCAAACAGGAUUAGAUACCCCUGUAC
This 451-nucleotide ribosomal RNA is filed under the name uncultured bacterium. Its description in RNAcentral is "partial 16S ribosomal RNA". It matches the Rfam family "Bacterial small subunit ribosomal RNA", at positions 328 to 793 of the family's 1533-position model. The record is from RNAcentral.